UUAUGGCCAUAAAAUGUUGAAGAAACCAGUUUCCACAUGACCACCAAAGUUAAGCAACAUUGAGCAUGGUCAGUACCUAAAUAGGUGACUGCUUGGGAAUACCAGGUUCUGUAAG
Acanthosepion pharaonis is the source of this 115-nucleotide non-coding RNA. Lineage: Eukaryota; Metazoa; Mollusca; Cephalopoda; Sepiida; Sepiidae. The record is from the annotation of a GenBank genome assembly.